Molecule: ribosomal RNA, 253 nt
Filed under: uncultured bacterium
Lineage: Bacteria
Description: partial 16S ribosomal RNA
Rfam family: Bacterial small subunit ribosomal RNA
Source: RNAcentral
UACGAAGGGGGCGAGCGUUGUUCGGAUUUACUGGGCGUAAAGGGCGCGCAGGCGGCGCAUUUUGUCAGGCGUGAAAGCCCCGGGCUUAACCUGGGAACUGCAUUUGUGACUGCAUCGCUGGAGUGCGGCAGAGGGGGAUGGAAUUCCGCGUGUAGCAGUGAAAUGCGUAGAUAUGCGGAGGAACACCGAUGGCGAAGGCAAUCCCCUGGGCCUGCACUGACGCUCAUGCACGAAAGCGUGGGGAGCAAACAGG